RNAcentral lists this ribosomal RNA (792 nucleotides) under uncultured Pelagibacteraceae bacterium. Its description in RNAcentral is "bacterial SSU rRNA". It matches the Rfam family "Bacterial small subunit ribosomal RNA", at positions 44 to 884 of the family's 1533-position model. The record is from RNAcentral. Lineage: Bacteria; Pseudomonadati; Pseudomonadota; Alphaproteobacteria; Candidatus Pelagibacterales; Candidatus Pelagibacteraceae.
ACGCCUAAUACAUGCAAGUCGAACGAAGUAGCAAUACUUAGUGGCAGACGGGUGAGUAACAUGUAGGUAUCUUCCCUUUGGUGAGGAAUAACAUGAGGAAACUUGUGCUAAUACCUCAUAAGUCUUUACGGAGAAAGCUUUAUGCGCCGAUGGAUGAGCCUGCACUUGAUUAGUUUGUUGGUAGGGUAAUGGCCUACCAAGACAAUGAUCAAUAGCUGAUUUGAGAGGAUGAUCAGCCACAUUGGGACUGAGACACGGCCCAAACUCCUACGGGAGGCAGCAGUAGGGAAUCUUGCACAAUGGGGGAAACCCUGAUGCAGCGAUGCCGCGUGAGUGAAGAAGGCCUUUGGGUUGUAAAGCUCUUUCGUCGGGGAAGAAAAUGACUGUACCCGAAUAAGAAGGUCCGGCUAACUUCGUGCCAGCAGCCGCGGUAAUACGAAGGGACCUAGCGUAGUUCGGAAUUACUGGGCUUAAAGAGUUCGUAGGUGGUUAAAAAAGUUGGUGGUGAAAUCCCAGAGCUUAACUCUGGAACUGCCAUCAAAACUUUUUAGCUAGAGUAUGAUAGAGGAAAGCAGAAUUUCUAGUGUAGAGGUGAAAUUCGUAGAUAUUAGAAAGAAUACCAAUUGCGAAGGCAGCUUUCUGGAUCAUUACUGACACUGAGGAACGAAAGCAUGGGUAGCGAAGAGGAUUAGAUACCCUCGUAGUCCAUGCCGUAAACGAUGUGUGUUAGACGUUGGAAAUUUAUUUUCUGUGUCGCAGCGAAAGCAAUAAACACACCGCCUGGGGAGUACG